Schistocerca nitens (vagrant locust) is the source of this 74-nucleotide non-coding RNA. The record is from the annotation of a RefSeq genome assembly. NCBI's taxonomy places the organism in Eukaryota, Metazoa, Arthropoda, Insecta, Orthoptera, Acrididae.
UGUCCGGAUGGCGCAGUGGUUAAUGCAUCUGCCUGACAAGCAGGACAUUCCGGGUUCGAGUCCCGGUCUGGCAG